Molecule: non-coding RNA, 898 nt
Organism: Petromyzon marinus (sea lamprey)
Lineage: Eukaryota; Metazoa; Chordata; Hyperoartia; Petromyzontiformes; Petromyzontidae
Source: RefSeq, a predicted model, not a curated record
CACUUCGACAAAAGGCUGCAGAAGUAAUAAGAAUAUCGGCAGAGCAAUAAUUGCGUUGGAGGGAGAUGUGGAGGGGGAGGGGGGGGGGAAGGGAGAUGUGUGGAGAGAUGUGGGGGAGACGCGUGACAAUAAAAAAGAGCAGCGGCGAGUAAAGGAGGUAUGGAGAAAGACGUGGAGUGAAGGACGCGCGGCCGCCCUGCGCAGAGCCUCAAUCGCCGUCGCCAAAGCCACCGAAACGCAGCGACGGGUCCAUGGGAGGCAUCCUGCUGCCCCCGCCGCUGCUGCUGCUGCUGGUACCUGGAGCCGAGUCCUCGGGCACCGUGAAGACGAACGCCCGCCGCUCGAACCGCGCCAGGGACACGGCCGCCCGCCCGCCGCCUCCGCCCGUCUGGCACGCGCAGCGGCACUGCCGCGGAGAGCAAAACGGAAAAAAGGCGGUGACGCCAAAGGUGGGGUGGCAGCGCCGGGGCGAUCCACCGCCGGGCCAAUGCAGAGGUUUCAUGGGUUCGGAUUAUCCGGCUCCGCCCCUGAUGAAGAAUACGGUCAAACACUUACGCGUCCGUCUCUUUCGGAGAAAAUGUGUCGUGACGGAUUAGUGCAGGCCGGUAAAAAAGAAAAAAACGUGAGUUUCAAACCGGUCCACAUUCGCUUCAAAUUGAUUUCGAUGGCAUGGCUGACACAGUGCUCAUGGCGCUGCCUGGUCCAACAAACAACCAGUGCCGGAUUAUCCUAGGAGCAAAAGUAGCUACAUAUGCUAAAUGCUUUCAAGCUAUUCUUCACUUACUCUAUUACUAUAGUACUACACCGCCUUCAACUUUUAAUGUUAGCGAUGUGUUGUAUUAUCUGGCUCUAUAGCAAAUAAAAAAAAUACAAUUACUUUACUAUGCAAAUAAAAAAA